CCAGAGCAUGACCCACUAAGGACUACACUAGACUCCAGAGACUAGCUUCUACUCAAUCACUGCUCGUUACCUGAAAACAUAGUUGUAAGGGUGAGUUCCUCAACCAAUAUAAUAAGCAUUAUAAAACAUCAUGUCAUGUUAAGUAAUUUAACACAUUAAUCACCCUAAUCACAUAACACAUUCAGUACGGUACAUCAACUCAAACAUCAUAUUCAAUACCGAUGCAAAUCAUACUCAUACUCAAU
RNAcentral lists this long non-coding RNA (245 nucleotides) under Lathyrus oleraceus (garden pea). Its description in RNAcentral is "Pisum sativum (pea) long non-coding RNA (PSAT_LNC032673)". The record is from RNAcentral. Lineage: Eukaryota; Viridiplantae; Streptophyta; Magnoliopsida; Fabales; Fabaceae.